GAUGAACGCUGGCGGCGUGCUUAACACAUGCAAGUCGAACGAAGCACUUUAACCUGAUUCUUCGGAUGAAGGUUUUUGUGACUGAGUGGCGGACGGGUGAGUAACGCGUGGGUAACCUGCCUCAUACAGGGGGAUAACAGUUAGAAAUGACUGCUAAUACCGCAUACGACCACAGAGCCGCAUGGCUCGGUGGGAAAAACUCCGGUGGUAUGAGAUGGACCCGCGUCUGAUUAGGUAGUUGGUGGGGUAACGGCCUACCAAGCCAACGAUCAGUAGCCGACCAGAGAGGGUGACCGGACACAAUGGGACUGAGACACGGCCCAAACUCCUACGGGAGGCAGCAGUGGGGAAUAUUGCACAAUGGGGGAAAACCUGAUGAAGCGACGCCGCGUGAGCGAAGAAGUAUUUCGGUAUGUAAAGCUCUAUCAGCAGGGAAGAAAAUGACGGUACCUGACUAAGAAGCACCGGCUAAAUACGUG
RNAcentral lists this ribosomal RNA (479 nucleotides) under uncultured bacterium. Its description in RNAcentral is "partial 16S ribosomal RNA". It matches the Rfam family "Bacterial small subunit ribosomal RNA", at positions 28 to 507 of the family's 1533-position model. The record is from RNAcentral.